Molecule: ribosomal RNA, 308 nt
Filed under: uncultured bacterium
Lineage: Bacteria
Description: partial 16S ribosomal RNA
Rfam family: Bacterial small subunit ribosomal RNA
Source: RNAcentral
UAGGGAAUCUUCCACAAUGGACGCAAGUCUGAUGGAGCAACGCCGCGUGAGUGAAGAAGGUUUUCGGACCGUAAAGCUCUGUUGUUGGUGAAGAAGGAUAGAGGUAGUAACUGGCCUUUAUUUGACGGUAAUCAACCAGAAAGUCACGGCUAACUACGUGCCAGCAGCCGCGGUAAUACGUAGGUGGCAAGCGUUGUCCGAAUUUAUUGGGCGUAAAGCGAGCGCAGGCGGAAGAAUAAGUCUGAUGUGAAAGCCCUCGGCUUAACCGAGGAAUUGCAUCGGAAACUGUUUUUCUUGAGUGCAGAAGA